CUACGGGCUGCUGCAGUGAGGAAUAUUGCACAAUGGGGGGAACCCUGAUGCAGCAACGCCGCGUGGAGGAUGACGCAUUUCGGUGUGUAAACUCCUUUUAUAUGUCAAGAAAAUGACGGUAGCAUAUGAAUAAGCACCGGCUAACUCCGUGCCAGCAGCCGCGGUAAUAGGAGGGUGCAAGCGUUACUCGGAAUCACUGGGCGUAAAGGACGCGUAGGCGGGUUGGAAAGUCAGGUGUGAAAUCCUACAGCUUAACUGUAGAACUGCACUUGAAACUUCUAAUCUAGAGUAUGGGAGGGGGAGAUGGAAUUAGUGGUGGAGGGGUAAAAUCCGUAGAUAUCACUAGGAAUACCUAAAGCGAAGGCGAUCUCCUGGAACAUUACUGACGCUAAGGCGUGAAAGCGUGGGGAGCAAACAGGAUUAGAUACCCCCGUAGUC
RNAcentral lists this ribosomal RNA (438 nucleotides) under uncultured bacterium. Its description in RNAcentral is "partial 16S ribosomal RNA". It matches the Rfam family "Bacterial small subunit ribosomal RNA", at positions 339 to 795 of the family's 1533-position model. The record is from RNAcentral.